GCUCAAUAACUUUGCUAUCUUCAGAUAGCUACAUAAUAGAUUAUUCAUUCAUUAUACCAUAUAUAGAUAGCUAAGCAGUCACUUUAACAGCCUCCUCCUUCACAAUCACAGUAGCUUUUGGCAUUGAUUCCACAGCUCUCACAGUUUCCUCCUUCUUAACCGCCUUUUGCAUUGCUUCAACGGCUGCGUUUCCUCGAUUCGCAGAUUCCUCUUUCUUUACCACAGGCUGCGCGGCGCAGGUAUGAACAGGGGCCCUCCUUAUCGGGCUCGAGCACGAGUACACGUUGUCGACUCCGGCACAUCCACUGCAGCAGUUCCUCGUAUCCAUUUUCUUGAAUUAAGUAGGCCAGGGGGUUUUGAAUUGAUGUUUCAUCCUUGCAAGGGUAAGAAUAUUUAUAGUGAAAGAUUAGACCUUUGAAUUCUUUCGGGCACUUCUAAGAAACUAGAAGGUCAUGCAUGGUAAUUAAAU
This 469-nucleotide long non-coding RNA is filed under the name Salvia miltiorrhiza (redroot sage). Its description in RNAcentral is "long non-coding RNA (SMIL_LNC003375)". The record is from RNAcentral. Lineage: Eukaryota; Viridiplantae; Streptophyta; Magnoliopsida; Lamiales; Lamiaceae.